RNAcentral lists this ribosomal RNA (2057 nucleotides) under Sphaerochaeta sp. RNAcentral's name for it is "partial 23S ribosomal RNA". It matches the Rfam family "Bacterial large subunit ribosomal RNA", at positions 1 to 1989 of the family's 2925-position model. Lineage: Bacteria; Pseudomonadati; Spirochaetota; Spirochaetia; Spirochaetales; Sphaerochaetaceae. The record is from RNAcentral.
GGCUAAGCUAUAAAGGGCAAACGGUGGAUGCCUUGGUGCCAGGAGGCGAUGAAAGACGUGGUAAGCUGCGAUAAGCUUCGGGGAGUUGCUAAACAAACUUUGAUCCGGAGAUUUCUGAAUGGGGAAACCCGUCACGGUCAAUACUGUGACAUGGUCAGGUGAAUACAUAGCCUUGCCAAGCCAACGGGGAGAACUGAAACAUCUUAGUACCCCCAGGAAGAGAAAGUAAAAACGAUUUUCCUAGUAGCGGCGAGCGAACGGGAAACAGCCCAAACCUGACAUGUGUGAUAGCCCGAAGGCGUUGCAUGGCAGGGGUCGUGGGAUCUGAAUUGGAUCUGUUUCGGAAGGUCCGGAGAGUUACAAAAUUAAUUCAUAGUUGAACGAACUGGAAAGUUCGGCCAUAGAGGGUGACAGCCCCGUAAGCGAAAUGAAUUGAUCUCUCUUUUCAGACACCCAAGUACUGCGGAACACGAGAAAUUCUGUGGGAAUUUGCGAGGACCAUCUCGUAAGGCUAAAUACUACCUGGCAACCGAUAGUGAACCAGUACCGUGAGGGAAAGGUGAAAAGUACCCCUGUAAGGGGAGUGAAAUAGUACCUGAAACCGUUUGCCUACAAGCAGUGGGGGCUUGGACUUUUGUCCGAGUGACCGCGUGCCUUUUGCAUAAUGAGUCAGCGAGUUAUUUAACGUAGCAAGGUUAAGCCGUGAGGUGUAGCCGCAGGGAAACCGAGUCUUAAUAGGGCGACGAGUUGCGUUGAGUAGACCCGAAACCAGGUGAUCUAGUCAUGGCCAGGUUGAAGCGCGAGUAAAAUCGCGUGGAGGACCGAACCCAUAUAGGUUAAAAACUAUUGGGAUGAGCUGUGAUUAGGGGUGAAAGGCCAAACAAACCUGGAGAUAGCUGGUUCUCUCCGAAAUAUAUUUAGGUAUAGCCUCACAUGUUUCUUAUCGGGGGUAGAGCACUGGAUGGGCUAGGGGUCUCACCAGAUUACCAAACCUAACCAAACUCCGAAUACCGAUUAAGUAAAAUGUGGGAGUCAGCCCGCGGGAGCUAAGUUCCGCGGACGAGAGGGAAACAACCCAGACCGCCAGCUAAGGUCCCCAAGUCUAUGUUAAGUGGGGAAGGAUGUGGAAAUGCUUAGACAAUCAGGAGGUUGGCUUAGAAGCAGCCAUCCUUUAAAGAAAGCGUAAUAGCUCACUGAUCGAGUGGUUCUGCGCCGAAAAUGUAACGGGGCUCAAACAUAGCACCGAAGCUGCGGAUAGAAAUUUAUUUCUAUGGUAGGAGAGCAUUGUGUGAGUAUUGAAUCGUGAUUGUAAGAUCAUGUGGAGUUCACACAAGAGACCAUGCUGACAUGAGUAGCGAUAAAGGGGGUGAGAAACCCCCUCGCCGAUAGCCCAAGGUUUCCUGAGUAAAGCUAAUCUGCUCAGGGUUAGUCGAUCCCUAAGCCGAGGCCGAAAGGCGUAGGCGAUGGAAAACAGGUUAAUAUUCCUGUACCACCGAGUUAUCGUUUGAGAGAAGGGGGGACGCAGGAGGGCAAGUCAUCCGUCUGUUGGAAUAGGCGGUUCAAGCUCGUAGGCUUAAGGAGCAGGCAAAUCCGUUCCUUUUUAAGGCCGAGAAGCGAUGAGGAGGGACUUUGUCCCAUAAAGUGACUGCACCCAUGCUGCCAAGAAAAGCCUCUAUCGAGAUAACAGGUGAUCGUACCCUAAACCGACACAGGUAGGCAGGGAGAGAAUCCCGAGGCGCUUGAGAGAACCCUGGUUAAGGAACUCGGCAAAAUGAUACCGUAACUUCGGGAUAAGGUAUGCCCCCACUGGUUAGGAGACUUGCUCUCCAAAGCCUAAGGGGGUCGCAGAGAAACGGCGGUAGCGACUGUUUACUAAAAACAUAGGACUCUGCAAAGUCGUAAGACGAAGUAUAGGGUCUGACGCCUGCCCGGUGCCGGAAGGUUAAGGGGAUUUGUUAGUCUUCGGACGAAGCUUUGAACCGAAGCCCCGGUAAACGGCGGCCGUAACUAUAACGGUCCUAAGGUAGCGAAAUUCCUUGUCGGGUAAGUUCCGACCU